GUUUAACCCGGUUGAUCCUGGCCAGUGGCCAUAUGCUUCGUUCAAGGACUAAGCCAUGCAAGUGUCAGAGGACACUGUGAAUCGAGAGUUGAUCUGUGAAUGGCUCCUUAGAACCAGUUGCCAUCGACGUGAUAGACCGUUUGUGGCACCAGCCUCUCGCCCAAGGCGCUCAGUUGGACAUUCCUCAACACCUGGUGGCUAAUACACGAUCAAGGGGUCAGCCAAAGGACCUGUGGUGAUGCAACAACCCUCAAAGUCGCUUCGCGUCUCACCCUCAGUGGUAGACUGCAACCAGCUGGUGAUUUGUGAUUUGUCUGGCUGAUCCCGAUAACUAGUGAGAUCUCUGCAUCUGACUAGGCUCUGGCUCGCAUCUGUAGGGUCGUUCCAGUCCCAGCACCGAUCGGACCCAGGUCGCCCCCGUGGCGCCUGGGAGCCAUCCGCUCGGUUGUCUGGCUGGUUCACCCGAGAGCCAACGAGGAAGUCUUCUCUGAGGUGCUGCUUGACGACCAGAAGGCUGAGCAUGCGAGAGGCAACAGCAGGUCUGUGAUGCUCCCAGAUGUUUUAGGCUGCACGCGCACGACACUGAUUCAGUGAAGGAGUCACCUUGAAGGCAAUGGUUCACCCACUGCCCCGUGGCCUGAAGAGGCUGGGAAACCUUGCAAACCUGAGACGUGAUGGGGAUAGACGAUUGCAACUGUGUGUCUUGAACGAGGAAUGCCUAGUAGGCGCAGGUCAUCAGCCUGGACCGAUUGAGUCCCUGCCAUUUGUACACACCGCCCGUCGUUGCUACCGAUGGCAUUGUGUUAGAAGCCUGUGGAAUGGAUGCCCCCCGUGGGUCCCUGCG
This 844-nucleotide ribosomal RNA is filed under the name Euglena mutabilis. RNAcentral describes it as "SSU rRNA". It matches the Rfam family "Eukaryotic small subunit ribosomal RNA". Lineage: Eukaryota; Euglenozoa; Euglenophyceae; Euglenales; Euglenaceae. The record is from RNAcentral.